Long non-coding RNA from Anguilla rostrata (American eel), 1959 nucleotides. RefSeq lists it as uncharacterized. The record is from RefSeq and is a predicted model, not a curated record. NCBI's taxonomy places the organism in Eukaryota, Metazoa, Chordata, Actinopteri, Anguilliformes, Anguillidae. The transcript has 3 exons.
UCCACCUGCACCCAUGCAUUACAUGUGACUCAUUAUUUUUUCAAGGGUGAAAGUCAAGGCCGGCAUUUUAGUGCAAUAUAGAUUCAUACAAAAUACAAGCCGUUAAUGCAGAUUUAUGCAGCCUGAUGUAAAUGCGACUGAUUUCCUAUCAGCUGAGCUACAGCCGCACAAAGCUCUCUCAUUGCCGGUAAUGAAACGUGACUGAACCUUAUCAGCCUAAUUUCUCCGCGUAAUGGCAUUGCAAACAUCCCACCUGCGGGCACACGACACUGAGAGGAGCUGUGGAGGAUGCGCUCAUAAUUAAGCUAAUAUCGAUCAGGGUUGUUAAAUGCAGAGCACCUCCCAGCAUCCUCGCGCGUCUCCAAUACUUUCUGAGGAGGACAACGUGAUCCUUUGUCCUUGGAGACGCCCUAGGUCCUCCCCAGGGGGGACAGGGUAGGUAUCGGAGCCCUCUCCUACUCUACUGAGGUGAAGAAUCGUGAAGGAUUCUGUUAGCGGCACUUUGCGAGUUAGCCAGCCCCUGUGUUAAUGGAAGAGCGAGCCGAUCACCGAUCAUUACGAAAUCUCACGAAAGACCUCUCGGCACACGCACCUUCUUUACAUUGGAAAUUAUUCUCCAACCGAAGCAAUGAUUUGCCGUUAGAUUAUGCUGAUGAUGGCUGCGAUAACAUGAAGAUGCACUCUCUUCCUCUGAAAUGAAAAAUGCAGCCAAGAGCACCGAACAGCCACAAGGUCUCCUCCAGACCCUCCCUGCCAUCUGGAACCACAGUGCACAUCGGCGGCGGGGGGUGGGAGCAGUUCAGUGUGAUGCACGCAGGCUCCCUUUCAGGCACCGGGGUGCCAUUUUGCGCAGGUGCGAUGUGACACAAGUGACGCAGCCGUGUGACUUAACUCACAUACUGAACGGGACAAGCCGUAGCCACCGAGCCCGUCUGCAGUUCUAGGCGCAGUCACAUUAAGACCUCAUUAGUCAUACUUUCGUUUGUCUGGCUUUUUUUCCCUCCCAUUGCUCUGGCCAUCUGUGGGCCACUUCCAGAUGCCUUCGAACAGAGGAAAGCCGGCACACUAAAUCUUUAAAGUGUUAGGGAGGCUCGUUGGCAGAAAGGGGACUUGGGGUUUGCUCCUUGAGGCUUGUAAAGGCCAGUGUUUUAUGUUUUGAGAAGCACAAGGCUCUGUAAUGAACUAAUGGGAAAAAAUAUUUCUGCAGCUGGUGCAUCAUGGGAAGGGUUCAAAUACAUUCACAGCCAGUCACUGUAAAAAAAACAACAACACACAUGCACUGUGAAAGACGACAGACACACACAAAGGCAAAGGCGAUAUUUUUUUGCAUACGUUUAUUAUUAUCUUGUAACAAGGCCUCCGAUUGGUAUACAAUGUUUGAUUUUUUUUAUUUUUAAUACAGACUUUCGUUUGCUACACAAAGUGACACCUUGAUACACAAGUUCAAUAAACACAACAAAAUACAUCUUUAUCUGCAUUACAUUUACAGAUAAAGAAGAAGAUCAAACGUAAGGCACUGGCCGGCUACCCUUUGCUUGUACUACCGAUUCAUACGUACUGUAUUGUGCAUAAUACAAUUUUCAAAGCCAAUACUUAACAACGGCAUUGGCAAUAUUCCCUUUAUCUAACAUAAGAAAAUGUGUCUUUUCCAGUGUUCCCUUUUGUGCAGCUCCAACUCUGUAUUUGCCCCUUUGUUAACAAGAAGUCCUUCUCUCUGGUGUACUCUAAUCUUCCCACAAUGCUUUGCUGCAUCAGAAGGCCAUGUCCAAAAUUGAAGACUCCCCCCCCCCCCCCCCCAAGCCCUCUACUUUCCAGAGGGGGCAUGCGCAUUGUUUUUGUAAGAGAAUCACAGAUUUUCAUCAACAAAAAUACACCAGCUUUGGAAACUAAGGGAUGGGUUUGAAUGCAUGAAAAAGGUUCAGCCGAAUUAAUGAGGUUACCACCUAAAAACUAAAACUU